CCUACGGGAGGCUGCAGUGAGGAAUAUUGGUCAAUGGCCGGAAGGCUGAACCAGCCAAGCCGCGUGCAGGACGCAGUUGCCAAGCAUUUUAAACUUCUUUUGUCAAGGGACAAAAUCAGGCUCGAGAGCCUGACCGAGGGUACUUGAAGAAAAAGCAUCGGCUAACUCCGUGCCAGCAGCCGCGGUAAUACGGAGGAUUGGAGCGUUAUCCGGAUGUAUUGGGUUUAAAGGGUGCGUAGGCGGACUGUUAAGUCAGGGGUAAAAGCCCGGGGCUAACCCCCGGCGAGCCGUUGAAACUGGCUGUUUUGAGAUGUCGAGAGGUAUGCGGAAUGCGCAGGGUAGCGGUGAAAUG
RNAcentral lists this ribosomal RNA (352 nucleotides) under uncultured bacterium. RNAcentral's name for it is "partial 16S ribosomal RNA". It matches the Rfam family "Bacterial small subunit ribosomal RNA", at positions 338 to 688 of the family's 1533-position model. The record is from RNAcentral.